RNAcentral lists this ribosomal RNA (253 nucleotides) under uncultured bacterium. RNAcentral describes it as "partial 16S ribosomal RNA". It matches the Rfam family "Bacterial small subunit ribosomal RNA", at positions 524 to 776 of the family's 1533-position model. The record is from RNAcentral.
UACGUAGGGUGCAAGCGUUAAUCGGAAUUACUGGGCGUAAAGCGUGCGCAGGCGGUUUUGUAAGUCUGACGUGAAAGCCCCGGGCUCAACCUGGGAAUGGCAUUUGGGACUGCAAGGCUGGAGUACGGCAGAGGAGACUGGAAUUCCUGGUGUAGCAGUGAAAUGCGUAGAUAUCAGGAGGAAUACCGAUGGCGAAGGCAGGUCUCUGGGCUGAUACUGACGCUCAUGCACGAAAGCGUGGGGAGCAAACAGG